UCUUCAUUCUUCAUAAUCUCUCACCGGUGGGAGAGGCGAGAGAGUGUGCGAAAUGAAGAGA
RNAcentral lists this microRNA precursor (61 nucleotides) under Pristionchus pacificus. Its description in RNAcentral is "mir-8364 microRNA precursor family". It matches the Rfam family "mir-8364 microRNA precursor family". Lineage: Eukaryota; Metazoa; Nematoda; Chromadorea; Rhabditida; Neodiplogasteridae. The record is from Rfam by way of RNAcentral.